RNAcentral lists this long non-coding RNA (605 nucleotides) under Helianthus annuus (common sunflower). The record is from RNAcentral. Lineage: Eukaryota; Viridiplantae; Streptophyta; Magnoliopsida; Asterales; Asteraceae.
GACGUGGGUAGAAUGCAGUUGCCUAGUGGUCUUAUAUAAUAUAGAGACCCUUGCAUCCAAAUAUUUGCCUCCAUACAUCUUUCCUUUGUAGAAGAUAUCAUAUAUGCACAGAAAUAAACACACCGAUGGUACCGUGUUCUUCGAUUGUGAUCUCAAACCUACAUUCAAGCUUUCUUCAUUCAAGAUCUGGAUGAUGAAGAAGAAUCUUUGGGAACUAAAAGAACAGGCGCUUCCGAAAUGCUACAGGCUCUAAGAGAAGCCGAGCUGCUAAACUUUAUAAUUUGUCUAAAAGGAUUUACUUUUGAGGUAUCUUUGGUUGGACAAUGGGUGAGCUACCUAGCUUUUGGAUAAUACUUUUCAGUAGUUAAUGUGAAGAAAAGGGGAAAAGGGGCAUAGGAGAAAACAUGAAGUGGCUGCAGUAAAUAUGUUGGGAAGUAUAACCACAAUGAAGUAUGAUGAAUACUCCCCAUAUUGAGGUAUCGAUUUUCAUGACACUGUAAGUGAGCCCCAAGUUCCUGCAAUGAAGAUCCCUUUGGUUUCACUAUGGCUUUCUUGAAUGAAAAUGGAAGUGUCUUUGCAUAUCAAUGCAAAGGGAAGAAAAAUGU